This 460-nucleotide ribosomal RNA is filed under the name uncultured bacterium. Its description in RNAcentral is "partial 16S ribosomal RNA". It matches the Rfam family "Bacterial small subunit ribosomal RNA", at positions 338 to 795 of the family's 1533-position model. The record is from RNAcentral.
CCUACGGGUGGCAGCAGUGAGGAAUAUUGGUCAAUGGACGAGAGUCUGAACCAGCCAAGUAGCGUGAAGGAUGACUGCCCUAUGGGUUGUAAACUUCUUUUAUAUGGGAAUAAAAUGUUCCACGUGUGGGAUUUUGUAUGUACCAUAUGAGUAAGGAUCGGCUAACUCCGUGCCAGCAGCCGCGGUAAUACGGAGGAUCCGAGCGUUAUCCGGAUUUAUUGGGUUUAAAGGGAACGUAGGUGGAUUGUUAAGUCAGUUGUGAAAGUUUGCGGCUCAACCGUAAAAUUGCAGUUGAAACUGGCAGUCUUGAGUACAGUAGAGGUGGGCGGAAUUCGUGGUGUAGCGGUGAAAUGCUUAGAUAUCACGAAGAACUCCGAUUGCGAAGGCAGUUCACUGGACUGCAACUGACACUGGGGCUCGAAAGUGUGGGUAUCAAACAGGAUUAGAUACCCCGGUAGUC